AGCCGAAGCGAAAGCAAGUCUGAAUAGGCGUAUAGUCAGAGGGGUAGACGCGAAACCUUGUGAUCUACCCAUGACCAGGUUGAAGUUGCCGUAACAGGUAAUGGAGGACCGAACCGAUAAGCGUUGAAAAGCUUCCGGAUGAGUUGUGGGUAGGGGUGAAAGGCUAAUCAAACUGGGAAAUAGCUCGUACUCCCCGAAAUGUUUUUAGGAACAGCCUCGAGGUUGAGUGUUAUAGAGGUAGAGCUACCGAUUGGACUAGGGGGCUUCACCGCCUACCAAAUCCUGACGAACUCCGAAUACUAUAUCAUAUACUCGGGAGUGAGCCCAUGGGUGCUAAGGUCCGUGGGCGAGAGGGAAAGAACCCAGAUCAUCAGCUAAGGUCCCCAAAUUUAUGUUAAGUUGAUCUAACGUGGUCCGAUUGCAUUGACAGCUAGGAUGUUUUGCUUGGAAGCAGCCAUUCAUUUUAAAGAGUGCGUAACAGCUCACUAGUCGAGCGAUUGGGCGUGGACAAUAAAACGGGCA
RNAcentral lists this ribosomal RNA (522 nucleotides) under uncultured bacterium. RNAcentral's name for it is "bacterial LSU rRNA". It matches the Rfam family "Bacterial large subunit ribosomal RNA", at positions 664 to 1181 of the family's 2925-position model. The record is from RNAcentral.